Molecule: long non-coding RNA, 1064 nt
Filed under: Chinchilla lanigera (long-tailed chinchilla)
Lineage: Eukaryota; Metazoa; Chordata; Mammalia; Rodentia; Chinchillidae
Description: lncRNA (ENSCLAG00000023587.1)
Source: RNAcentral
ACAAAACAAAAAAAACCCUCUUCAGCACCCUUUCUUAAGCAUAGAAGGAGGCUGAGGCAGGUCUAUGGCAAACUUGAGACCUGCCAGGGCAAUUUGGGACUUAGUGCGAUCCUGUCUCAAUCAGUCAGUCAAUCAAUCGACCUGGUGAUGUAGUUCAGUGUUAGGGUGCCCCUAGGUUUGACCCCCAGUACUAGAAAAAAAGGAAAGUAAAAAGAGAAAAAAGAAAAGAAAAUACAAAUUUCAAAGUCACAGAGGCAAGAGUAAGAGUGCCUCAUCUAUUUUAAGUGUUAAAACCUCACCCUUCUUGUUAAAACAAGCAGGUCCAUCCCCAGUCCAACUGCACCCUGCAGACUUUGGAAUCUGUGGUAGCAGCUGGAGGAGGCAGAUGAGGGGACCCGGGUCGGGCAGGGCAGGUGGACAAGGGGUGGAAACAAACCUGGAAACAGUCUCCGCUCCCUCUGACAUGCACUGUCUCCCACCAGCUCAUGAAACACCUGUGUGUCUCCAGAUCCCAGGAGCCUCCAGCAGGUCCCAGGUCACAGCCCAACGGUGAAGCAGUGGGACCACAGACUGGGUGCAACCUCCGCCAGCGAACCAGGGCUGCCUGGAGAUUUUCCUCAAGAUCAGAUACUCCCGAAUUGGAGCUGUGGAGGAUGUCGUGGCAGAUCGAGGUCCUGUGCUCACUGUGAAGCUCGCCAGGGUGAGAACUCGGGGGCAGAAGGUUCGCAGACUUUGGCUCCAGCUGCUUUCGUUCCUACAGAUGAAGAGCAGGACAGCGAUUGUUACAGGAGCUACAUCCACUGAUAUCAAUAAUGGCGUCUACCAUAGGAGAACUUCAAACUGAAAAACAGCCAACAAUGUUUAUUAAUUCAUCUCAAAAUCACAAUAAAUCCAUCAGAAGUUAACAUGGAAAGCACAUUUUUAAAUACAAAAUAGUAGAUUUUUCUAAACAAAACUGGGAGAAGAUGGUAUAGUUUAUGCUUUCAUGUGUGCAGCUCACCAUAACGGGAUUCCCACAGCUGAUUCUGCCACAUGGAUCACUGUGGGUGUUUUCUUCAGGGCCA